UCUGGUUGAUCCUGCCAGUAGUCAUAUGCUUGUCUCAAAGACUAAGCCAUGCAUGUCUAAGUAUAAAUGUUAUACAGUGAAACUGCGAAUGGCUCAUUAAAACAGUUAUAGUUUAUUUGAUAAUCGAAUUUACAUGGAUAACCGUGGUAAUUCUAGAGCUAAUACAUGCUGGUUAGCCUGACUUUUUGGAAGGGCUGUAUUUAUUAUAUAACAAAUCAAUAUUCCCCGUGUCUAUUGUGACGACUCAUAAUAACUGAUCGAAUCGCAUGGACUUUGUCCGCGAUACAUCAUUCAAGUUUCUGCCCCAUCAGCUUUCGAUGGUAGUGUAUUGGACUACCAUGGCUCUUACGGGUAACGGAGGAUUAGGGUUCGAUUCCGGAGAGGGAGCCUGAGAAACGGCUACCACAUCUAAGGAAGGCAGCAGGCGCGUAAAUUACCCAAUCCUGAUUCAGGGAGGUAGUGACAAGAAAUAACGGACCGAAGCCUAUGUUUCGGGUUUGCAAUGAGUAGAAUUUAAACCCCUUUACGAGGAUCAAUUGGAGGGCAAGUCUGGUGCCAGCAGCCGCGGUAAUUCCAGCUCCAAUAGCGCAUAUUAAAGUUGUUGCAGUCAAAAAGCUCGUAGUUGGAUUUCUGGGAGGGUGCCAAUGUCCGCUCGUUUGCGUGUGCAGCGGCGCCCUUCCAUCCUUCUGUUAACGUUUCUUGGUAUUCAUUUACUGGUUUCGGGCUCAGAUAUUUUACCUUGAGAAAAUUAGAGUGUUCCAGGCAGGCUUGCGCCGGAAUACAUUAGCAUGGAAUAAUAGAAUAGGACUUUAGUCUCCUUUGUUGGUUUGAGGGAUUGAAGUAUGAUUAAUAGGGAUAGUUGGGGGCAUUAGUAUUUAAUUGUCAGAGGUGAAAUUCUCGGAUUUGUUAAAGACUAACUUAUGCGAAAGCAUUUGCCAAGGAUGUUUUCAUAAAUCAAGAACGAAAGUUAGGGGAUCAAAGACGAUCAGAUACCGUCCUAGUCUUAACCAUAAACUAUGCCGACUAGGGAUCGGAGGCGCGCUUUAUCCGCCUUCGGCACCUUAUGAGAAAUCAAGUCUUUGGGUUCUGGGGGGAGUAUGGUCGCAAGGCUGAAACUUAAAGGAAUUGACGGAAGGGCACCACCAGGAGUGGAGCUUGCGGCUCAAUUUGACCCAACACGGGAAAACUUACCAGGUCCAGACAUAGUGAGGAUUGACAGAUUGAUAGCUCUUUCUUGAUUCUAUGGGUGGUGGUGCAUGGCCGUUCUUAGUUGGUGGAGUGAUUUGUCUGGUUAAUUCCGUUAACGGACGAGACCUUAGCCUACUAACUAGUCGAACCAAUUCCGAUUGGUUGCGACUUCCUAGAGGGACUUUGUGGGCCAAACACAAGGAAGUUUGAGGCAAUAACAGGUCUGUGAUGCCCUUAGAUGUCCUGGGCCGCACGCGUGCUACACUGACGCAUACAGCGAGUACGUCCCAGCUCCGCGAGGCAGCUGGUAAUCAGCAAUAUGCGUCGUGAUGGGGAUAGAUCUUUGAAUUAUAGAUCUUGAACGAGGAAUUCCUAGUAAGCGCAAGUCAUUAGCUUGCGCUGAUUAAGUCCCUGCCCUUUGUACACACCGCCCGUCGCUCCUACCGAUUUCGAGUGGUCCGGUGAACCUUUUGGACUGCGCGAGGCCUCGUGUCUUGUGUGGAAAAUCAAGUAAACCAUAUCACUUAGAGGAAGGAGAAGUCGUAACGAGGUU
This 1741-nucleotide ribosomal RNA is filed under the name metagenome. RNAcentral's name for it is "SSU rRNA". It matches the Rfam family "Eukaryotic small subunit ribosomal RNA". The record is from RNAcentral.